UAAAGAGCUUUCCAUCUAAAGCCAUCCUGCUGUUUCUCCAGCAGAAACAUUGCUUGGACCAAGGACAAGAUCCUAUCACAGCUCCCACUGAAAAGCUGAGAUAGAUUGGAGCUGAAGAGGAAUUGUCCAAUGGUGGGAGAAUCUAAGACCAGAGCGCAUAGCCUCAAAUUAGAAGGACGUCACGUUAUACAGUUGUAUCACCACCUGGUAUGGGAACUACACCAAUCUUGAUCGCUGGACACUGUAGAGAGUGGUACAGAGCACAUCUGUGGAAGUGAACUUCCCUCCAUUGAGGACAUUUACAGCAGCAGG
Molecule: long non-coding RNA, 312 nt
Organism: Mobula hypostoma (lesser devil ray)
Lineage: Eukaryota; Metazoa; Chordata; Chondrichthyes; Myliobatiformes; Myliobatidae
Exons: 3
Source: RefSeq, a predicted model, not a curated record